Long non-coding RNA from Equus caballus (horse), 807 nucleotides. RefSeq lists it as uncharacterized. Lineage: Eukaryota; Metazoa; Chordata; Mammalia; Perissodactyla; Equidae. The record is from RefSeq and is a predicted model, not a curated record.
CAGAGCCCCGCCCCCGGCGCCGGCAGGCUCUGAGAGGGCGGGGCCUCAGGGAGCCCCGCCCAGCGUCGGGAGCGCGUGCUCAGUGCGGCUCUGCGGUUGCAGGAAACCUUCCGUGGUAUUGCAUGGCGUUCAAAGCUUUCCUAAACUCAGAAGAUCUGUGCUGGAGUCUUCCAAUUUACCAUGUACUAGGUGUACAACUUAGAAGAGAAGAUCACUCCUGGAUAGUUUUGUCUCCUGGCCACCAGGAGUUUGUGAAAGUUGGCAAAUUUUGACUGAGGACAGGAAUGGGGACUGAGAUGCUGCCUUUCUAGAAAGCUCCUGGUGAUGCUGAUGCUUCAUGGACCACUUUGAGGAUCUAAGGUAUUCGGAAAGCUUUCCUCUUGGGGCAUAUUUUUUGAUUUGGCUAUCAGAUUCAUAAUACUUGGUAUGAAUUGGUGAUAAUGCAUUCUUAAUAAUCAAUUUAUCACAUGUGGAGGCAGGAUGGACAGAGGAACUAUUAUAUUUAUAUUGAGCUAGUUUUGUUAUUAUUGAAUGUACAAUAGAAGUUAGUCCUAUGUCAUACACGCUGCACACUUUUUUCAGUUUGCCUUUUUCUUUGGGUUUUGUUUAUUGUCUUUAUGCAGACACAUGUUUCAAGUUUGUGUUGCCUUCUGGUCUCUGUGUCAAGUUUGGAAAGGCUUUUCAAUCCAAGAUUUAAAAAAUAUUCAACCAUAUUUUCUUCAAGUACUUCUGUGGUUUCAUCUUUUAUUUAUAUUACAAUUAAAAUUUUUAGCAGCUUUAUUGAGGUAUAAUUUACAUACCAACAAG